Molecule: small nuclear RNA, 107 nt
Organism: Vulpes vulpes (red fox)
Lineage: Eukaryota; Metazoa; Chordata; Mammalia; Carnivora; Canidae
Source: Ensembl
GUGCUUGCUUGGGCAGCACAGAAACUAAAAUUGGAGCGAUACAGAGAUGAUUAGCAUGCCCCCUGUGCAAGGACAACAUGUAAAUCUGUGAAGCGUUCAAUAUGGAA